RNAcentral lists this transfer RNA (73 nucleotides) under Argiope bruennichi. Its description in RNAcentral is "transfer RNA methionine (anticodon CAU)". It matches the Rfam family "tRNA". From Rfam's summary of the family: Transfer RNA (tRNA) molecules are approximately 80 nucleotides in length. Their secondary structure includes four short double-helical elements and three loops (D, anti-codon, and T loops). Further hydrogen bonds mediate the characteristic L-shaped molecular structure. tRNAs have two regions of fundamental functional importance: the anti-codon, which is responsible for specific mRNA codon recognition, and the 3' end, to which the tRNAs corresponding amino acid is attached (by aminoacyl-tRNA synthetases). tRNAs cope with the degeneracy of the genetic code in two manners: having more than one tRNA (with a specific anti-codon) for a particular amino acid; and 'wobble' base-pairing, i.e. permitting non-standard base-pairing at the 3rd anti-codon position. Lineage: Eukaryota; Metazoa; Arthropoda; Arachnida; Araneae; Araneidae. The record is from RNAcentral. RNAcentral also lists the same sequence under 1 other name.
GCCUCGGUAGCGCAGUAGGCAGCGCGUCAGUCUCAUAAUCUGAAGGUCAUGAGUUCGAUCCUCACCCGGGGCA